ACGAUAUAGGAACAUUUCACGCAGUAUAUGUAGUAUUGAUGCUUGAAAACAGCGAGCAGCAAUUGCUGAAUGAAACAAUUGUAAAAAGAUGCUUACGCAAGAAUCCUCUUAAUGCCCACCGGUUCGAUUUUGGUGUGAACGAGGAACCGUACAUAGCUUUCUACUAAAGCCGGCGCAGGUAUGGAACUUUUUGAUUGAGGCUGUAAAAACAAAUAAAAUGAAUUUAGCUGCUUGGUUCCAAACAAAAAAUUUGACCUGCAUUACCUGUGGAUCAGCGACAUUUUACUGUGCACAGUUAAACUAUCCAAAACAGCCAUAAAGAACGGCGGUUGCCCCACAGCUGCAGUUUUAUCGUUGCCAUUUAACGCCUCGCUAAGUAUAUUCAUUGAUUCUGGAAAGUACUACACAUUGAUUUGUUAAAAAUGCAUUACAUAUAUGUAUAAUGCGUAAAUUGUUGCCCAUGCUUAUGGACAUCAUUGUUUUGUGAAGAGCAAGAUGCUGAAGAAAGCUGUUGACAAAUAAAGGAGUUAGUUGACGUGCACUGAACAAGUCUAGAAAA
This is a long non-coding RNA of Rhagoletis pomonella (apple maggot), 559 nucleotides long. RefSeq lists it as uncharacterized. The record is from RefSeq and is a predicted model, not a curated record. The transcript is spliced from 2 exons. NCBI's taxonomy places the organism in Eukaryota, Metazoa, Arthropoda, Insecta, Diptera, Tephritidae.